RNAcentral lists this long non-coding RNA (27111 nucleotides) under Homo sapiens (human). RNAcentral's name for it is "long non-coding RNA NONHSAT202750.1". Lineage: Eukaryota; Metazoa; Chordata; Mammalia; Primates; Hominidae. The record is from RNAcentral.
CAAUAAAUGUCUGAUACAUUAACUUUCUUCCUCUGCACUCAGUAGGGAGCCAAGAUGAAGUCAAAGGUUGGUCAGGACACUCUUCCUGGACAUUUAUAUUAGAUAAAAUAUUGUCCUCUCUUCCCACCACUGACAUCGAAUCUAACAAAGAAAGAGAAAUAAAAUAUAUAAACUGCAAUUGGAGGGUUGAUUCUUUUAUUGAUGAGUAGCAAAUUCUCUGCAGAACCCACAAUACUUAAGCAGUACUCCAGGGCCACAUGAAGAUACUGUUGGUGACUACUCAACAAGCUUGCAUUAAGCGCCUAUGAAAAACAACCAUAUGGCUUAGACCUGCCCUCGGGAAGUUCACAGUCUAGGUGGGAAGACACAUUCAAACACAUAAUGUGGCUCUAGGGCAAAGGCUUGAAUGCAGUCAUGGUUAGUUAAACAAGCCUGUCUCAGAAUCAUCUGGCAAACUUGUUAAAACACAAGUCCUAGACUCCAUCCCCACUGAUACUGGGUCAGGGAUCAUGCCCAUGAUCUUACAUUUCUAGCAAACUCCAGUGAUGCUGUUCUGCUAUUUUAUGGCUGUUUGAGUAGCAUCGUUAUAUUAGAAGUCAAAGUAAUGGGAUUAUUUAUAGAGGAGGGAAAGAGUAAUUUCUUGCAGUAGGGAGGAUGUUAUCUGGAGUGACUUUAUGGAGGAAGUACUGUAGUUUUUAAUCAAAGCCUAGAAGUCUGGGUAGGAUUUCAGCAGGCAGCAACUAUAAGUGUCUUCACAUAAAUAAAAUACUAACAAGUCAGGAAACAAUGCAGAAAUGCAGAAUAUAUUCAGCAAGCAGAAUAGCAGGGUGCAUAAGUUGUGGAAGGCAGAGUGACAGAAAGCAAUGCUGGUCACUGGUUUCUAGAAGACCUUGAGUCUACUGACUGGGUGCUGAGGCAGAGGAGGUCAAGCUUAUUUUGUAACUGACAGGGAUCAUGAAAUAUUUUUGAACAUGGGAAGAAUGUCAUCAGUUCAAUGACCUAAUGCUUCAUGUCUGAGUGUGAGAUGGAUUGGAGGAAGUGAUGAGGAAUGGGAAGACGAUUUGGUCCACAGACUUAUUAAAGUCUUUAAGUGAUAAAGAGGUCAUCUGGAAGCCUAACCUAGGCCAGUGGGAGUAGUAAGAAGGCAUUAGACAGGAAGAGAAAGUGGAAGACAUAUCAUCAGAAUUUUAAAAUUAAAUUACACAUGGUAGAUGAGAGAGAGGAACAAGUCAAAAAUGACCCUAAGGAGCAGAGACUGAGUACUGAUGCCAGCAGAAGAGAAAGGAAUUUUAGGGAAAGAAAGGAUUCAACAAGGAAGAUAGUGAGCUUGGUUUUGUACCUAUCGAAUUUGAGGUGCCUACAAGUUAUCUAGUAGCUUGCAUUGCAAGCCGAGGUUCAGUAGAGAGGCUGAGGCUGUGCAGACAUUAAAUAUUUUUCAUUAUCUGAGUGUGUCAUGCGGAAGUGAUUAUGGAACCCAGGAGAGUAGAUGACUUCAUCAGGGAGUACACACAGAGUGAGGAGAAGAUGAAGGCAACUGAACCUUAGGGAGUGUCUACAUGUAACUGGUUGGUGGAAGAGCCUGCAGAGAAGACUCAGCAAGAAUGGUCUGGGAGGCCCUGGGGAGGCAGCUGAAUGCUGUGUUCAGAACAACAAGGGAGAAGACUUUGGCAGGGAGUGAUUCGAAGAGUUAACUGCGACAGAAGCUGAGAAGGAGGAAAGAGAAGCCAUUGGAUGUGUGGCUCGGGACGUUCAGGGGUGCACUUUCCAUGGCGGGGCAGGAUCCAGGCUUCAGGGAGUCAGUAAGUAAACUGGGGUGAGGAAGUAGAGGAAGCGAGUGGUCAGUGGUGACAGAAAGAAAAUGGGACAGUAACUCGAGAGGGAGACAAGGUCAUGGGAGGAUUUGGUUGUUUUUUCAGGGUCUGGAGAUGUGCAUGUGUGUAGGCCAAGGGGAAGGAGCCCGUGGGAAGGGAAGGAUUAAAGAGGUAGUAAGAAAGAGAGGAGGGGAGUGAGGCUGCGAGUCUGGGAAGGGUGGAGAGGCUGGGACGGAAAGCUCUGGGGCUGAAGGGCCACUUCAGUAUGAGGUCCUUUGGGUGUUCUGGCAACGAAACUGACUUGGACAAGGUCCAAGCAAGACUCUCCUUUCACUAAAGCAAACAGCAUGGUGGCACUAACACUUCUCUGAGAAGCUCAAAUACAGAGAUGUCUCUUUUUCCCCCCAAGACCGGUCUUUCCACUUUCAAGCAUUCAAAAAGGUCCAAAAGUUAAAUUAGAGUUUCAAUAUUCUAAUUUUCCAACAAAUUUAUUUCCUUCAUGGGUUAGCCAAAUCAAGGAGUCUUUUCCCUCACCUGGGUCCCCAAAUUUAAUUAGCCAACUUCCUCCUUCCCUUCUGAGAGUCAGAAAAUAGACUUUUUUUCUCUCCUUCCCCUCCUGGCUUUUGCUUAUCUAAGCUAGGGUCCCCAUGAGAGCUUUCAGCUGCUUUAUUUCAGCUGGUCCCUCAUAGCCACACUGACUCUGGUUAACCUUCUCUAGCUUCUCUGGGACCACUUUUAGGAAAGUUUGCUAGGUAUUCUGACCUACUAAUAGGUCCCUUAAGGGGAAGUCCACACCAUCACAGUAGAUCUUACUACCUAACACCUAGUGAAAUCCUAGGCUUUGCUGAGCUCAGCCAAGACACCACAGGAAACACAUGGUCUGGGGUUCCCAGAGAGAUUGUCUAUAUCUCAAAGAAUAAUGCUAAACAGACAGAAUACAAAACUGUCUGGAAUAGAAGGCUUUGGGGUUUUAAAGAGCCCACUUUUUGUUUUUUCUAAAAAUUUGUUUGGGAGGGAUUAGCUUUGUGACUAAGCAUAGGAAAUAGAUGAAAUGUGUUUCCUAGAUUUCAUCUUAUUCUUAGGUAGUAUUAUGGCAUUAUUAAUCUCACCAUGGCAUUGUUCCACAUGCUAAUGCUUUUUAAAAAGCAUGUCAUUAGUUUGAGUGACAGAAACAUGUUCUGCACCCUUCAUAGAUAUUCAAUAUCUCUGUUCUUAAAACAUUUUCUUAAACAUCAAGUUCUGUUCCAUAACAUUUACAGAAACACAGCACUGAAAAUUGUAACUGUCUCAUCUUUCAUGGUAAAUUGAAGAUUUCAGGAGAAAGAAAAUGACCAAACACGAUUAUAAAAAUGGCAAGUGGGACAUAAACUUCUGCUCUAAGGCAUAGUUUCAAAUUUUUUUUUAUUAUACUUUAAGUUCUGGGAUACAUGUGCAGAACGUGUAGGUUUGUUACAUAGGUAUACACAUGCCAUGGUGGUUUGCUGCACCCAUCACCCUGUCAUCUACAUUAGGUAUUUCUCCUAAUGUUAUCCCUCCCCUAGCCCCCCACCCCACUGACAGGCCCCUGUGUGUGAUGUUCCCCUCCCCAGAUCCAUGUGUUCUCAUUGUUCAACUCUCACCUAUGAGUGAGAACAUGCGGUGUUUGGUUUUCUGUUCUUGUGUUAGUUUGCUGAGAAUGAUGGUUUCCAGCUUCACCCAUGUCCCUGCAAAGGACAUGAACUCAUCCUUUUAAUGGCUGCAUAGUAUUCCAUGAUGUAUAUGUGCCACAUUUUCUUUAUCCAGGCUAUCAUUGAUAGGCAGUUGGGCUGGUUCCAAGUCUUUGCUAUUGUGAACAGUGCCACAAUAAAUGUACAUGUGCAUGUAUCUUUAUAGAAUGAUUUAUAAUCCUUUGGGUAUAUAGCCAGUAAUGGGAUUGCUGGGUCAAACGGUAUUGCUGGUUCUAGAUCCCUGAGGAAUCGCCACACUGUCCUCCACAAUGGUUGAACUAAUUUACACUGCCACCAACAGUGUAAAAGGGUUCCUAUUUCUCCACAUCUUCUCCAGCACCUGUUGUUUCCUGACUUUUUAAUGAGGGGCAUUCUAACUGGUGUGAGAUGGUAUCUCAUUGUGGUUUUGAUUUGCAUUUCUCUAAUGACCAGCGAUUAUGAGGUUUUUUUUCAUGUGUUUAUUGGCCACAUAAAUGUCUUCUUUUGAGAAGUGUCUGUUCAUAUAUCCUUCGCUUACUUUUUGAUGGGGUUGUUUUUUUCUUGUAAAUUUGUAUAAGUUCUUUGUAGAUUCUGGAUAUUAGCCCUUUGUCAGAUGGAUAGAUUGCAAAAAUUUUCUCCCAUUCUGUAGGUUGCCUGAUCACUCUGAUGAUAGUUUCUUUUGCUGUGCAGAAGCUCUUUAGUUUAAUUAGAUCCUAUUUUUCAAGUUUGGCUUUUGUUGCCAUUUCUUUUUGUGUUUUAGUCAUGAAGUCUUUGCUCAUGCCUAUGUCCUGGAUGGUAUUGCCUAGGUUUUCUUCUAGGAUUUUUAUGGUUUUAUGUUUUAUGUUUAAGUCUUUAAUCCAUCUUAAUUUUUGUAUAAGGUGUAAGGAAGGGGUCCAGUUUCAGUUUUCUGCAUAUGGCUAGCCAGUUUUCCCAACACCACUUAUUAAAUAGGGAAUCCUUUCCCCAUUGUUUGCUUUUGUCAGGUUUGUCAAAGAUCAGAUGGUUGUAGAUGUGUGGUGUUAUUUCUGAGGCUUCCGUUCUGUUCCAUUUGUCUAUAUAUCUAUUUUGGUACCAGUACCAUGCUGUUUUUUGUUACCAUAGCCUUGUAGUAUAGUUUGAAGUCAAGUAGUGUGAUGCCUCCAGCUUUGUUCUUUUUGCUUAGGAUUGCCUUGACUAUACAGGCUCCUUUUUGGUUCCAUAUGAAUGUUAAAGUAGUUUUUUCUAAUUCUGUGAAGAAAGUCAAUGGUAGCUUGUUGGGGAUAGCAUUGAAUCUAUAAAUUACUUUGGGCAGCAUGGCCAUUUUCAUGAUAUUGAUUCUUCCUAUCCAUGAGCAUGGAAUGUUUUUCCAUUUGUUUGUGUCCUCUUUUAUUUCAUUGAGCAGUGGUUUGUAGUUCUCCUUGAAGAGGUUCUUCACAUCUCUUGUAAUUUGUAUUCCUAGGUAUUUUAUUCUCUUAGCAAUUGUGAAUUGGAGUUCACUCAUGAUUUGGCUGUUUGUCUAUUAUUGGUAUAUAGGAAUGCUUCUGAUUUUUGCACAUUGAUUUUGUAUCCUGAGACUUUGCUGAAGUUGCUUAUCAGCUUAAGGAGUUUUUGGGCUGAGACGAUGAGGUUUUCCAAAUAUACAAUCAUAUCAUCUGCAAACAGAGACAAUUUGACUUCCUCUCUUCCUAUCUGAAUAUGCUUUCUUUCUUUCUCUUGCCUGAUUGCCCUCACCAGAACUUUCAAUACUAUGUUGAAUGGAGUGGUGAGAGAGGGCAUCCUUGUCUUGUGCUGGUCUUCAAAGGGAAUGCUUCCAGCUUUUGCCCAUUCAGUGUGAUAUUGGCUGUGGGUUUGUCAUAAAUAGCUCUUAUCAUUUUGAGAUACAUUCCAUGAAUACCUAGUUUGAGAGUUUUUAACAUGAAGGGUUAUUGAAUUUCAUCAAACGCCUUUUCUGCAUCUAUUGAGAUAAUCAUGUGAUUUUUGUCCGUGGUUCUGUUUAUGUGAUGGAUUUACGUUUAUUGAUUUGUGCCUGUUAAACCAGCCUUGCAUCCCAGGGAUGAAGCCGAUUCGAUAGUAGCGGAUAAGCUUUUUGAUGUGCUGCUGGAUUCAAACUGAAGCCGGCAAACCGAAUCAAAACAUUUUUAUAACACGAAUAUGAAGAGUUUAUUUCCUACUGUCUUUAAUUUUUGUUUCAGCCUUUAAAAUAAUAUUCAUGGAAAUUUGUGAGAAUAUGGAUUUAAUAAAAUAUAGAGAAUAAACUGUGCUUUAAAAUUAGAAAUGGAGUAAUAUAUAUUAUUGCAUUUUUUGGUGUAAUUGUGUUGCUAUCAAGUCUUUAUUCUAUUUUCAAAAGUAUUCGUCUGUCAAUCCUUAUGUUGCAGUAAUAAAAAAAUUUAAUAUCUGCUCGUGAAAUAUAAUAAUCAUUUUGCCUGAGUGGAUGUAACCACUAACCAAAGUGACCCGGUGAGCAUGUAAGGAAAAGAGUUUGCCCGUUUAUGCUGCUUCACAUCUUCCAGUGUGAAGAGCAGGUUCAUAUGGAGGCUACACACAGAUGCUAGAGUCAGACUGGUUUAAAUCACAGCUCUGUGUGACCUUCAUCAAUAUACUUGCUAACCCGCUGUCUCGGAUUCCUCUUCUGUAAUAUGGGGAUUAUAAAAUAGUAAUCUACCUGAAACGGUGUGGCGACUAAAUAAUUUAAUGUUGGCAGAGUGCUGCAACAGACGCUGAGGCUACUCCAUGCAAAUACCCAUCCCUACCUGCUGAGGGUUUGGGCCACUAAAGACUCAGACCUGACCAGGCAUGGUGGCUCACACCUGCAAUCCCAGCACUUUGGGAGGCUGAAGUGGGCAGAUCACUUGAGGUCAGGAGUUUGAGACUAGCCUGGGCAACAUGGAGAAGCCCCGUCUCUGCUAAAAAUACAAAAAUUAGCCAGUUGUGGUGGCGCACACCUGUAGUCCCAGCUACUCAGGAGGCUGAGGCAGGAGAAUCACUUGAACCCAGGAGGUGGAGGUUGCAGUGAGCCAAGAUCACGCCACUGCACUCCAGCCUGGGCAACAGAGCAAGACUUCAUGUCAAAAAAAAAAAAAAAAAGAAAAAGAAAAAGAAAAAGAAAAAGAAAAGAAAAGAAAAGAAAAGAAAAGAAAAGAAAAGAAAAGAAAAGAAAAGAAAUAUUCACACCUGCACCCUUCUCAAGAGGCUUGCCCCUGGCUGACAGGUACUCUCUUGAGGGGGUGCUUGUUAUGCACUCUCCCAGCACCCACUACUGCAAGUGGCCCAUAACUAAUGACCUACUGGUUCAGGGUUAUAAGAGCCAGCACCCCUGCUUCUGGAGGACUAAACGCUGUGGUACAAUCCACUAGUCAGAACUCCCAUAGGAUCAGGCUGGGGCUAGACUUCUAAAGCCAUUCUUUGUUUAUCUUCUUUCCCUGCCCUGCUCUCACGCCUUUCCUGGUUUUCCCUCCAUAAAUUAUUCCUUCCUUUGCACAGAAUCCCUGGCUCAGGCUCUGCUGGGGAACUGGACCUGAGACCAGUACUUCAAAUAGUGCUUGGCACUAUGUUAGCAAUUAUUAAGGAUUAAAACAAUCAAAUUAUUUGGUCUAAGUCAGAUGUAUAAAUUGGAGACUUUAUUGUUUAGAAUGGAGUGACUUGCACGUUCGUCAUCAGAGCUGAUAAAUAACUGCUUCCACAUCAGCUUGUCUUUAUAAUUAUUUUUCUUUCAAUGGGAAUGCUUAAAGAAAGCCCAUUUCAGAGUUGUCAGGGAACAGUUUGAACAAGGACAGAGGGUGUCCAGCACAACUGGGGAAUGCGAGGCCUGACUCCAUAGCCGAUGAGCAGGCAGGGUUACAGGUGUCCUAGGUUUCAGAGUCUUGGAACAGAGCAGGAGAAGGGGCAAAGCAGCAGGUACUGGGAGGAGCUAUGGUUCAGCUCUCCCUCAUUUCUUGACAGACAGGAAGAGGUUUGUACCCUGGGGUACUUUAGCUGCUUGAAGUAACCAGGUCUUAGGCAUUGUUUUGUUCAAAUCAAGAUACAGGAAACUUCUCUCAAUAUUGAAAAAAGAGAGAAAAGGCAACGGGGAAAAAAAAGGAGGGAAAGGAUGGGAGCUUUAGCUAUCAGAAAGAGAAGACUCUUCCUGUGUAGCACGGGAGAGAAGGGAAUUAUCUAGAUUUAGGAGAGUGGACAGAGGCAGAACUCAGACAAAUUUAACUGCUAAAAUGCUCAUGUGUGCUACAAGGGCAGGAAGUAUCCCCCUGGGAAUGUGUUACUGUUGAGGAGAAAGGCCAUCAGCAAACCUAAAGGGGCCAUGUUGCAGGAGCAAAGCCCCCACAAAGGAACUAAGCUGCAAGCCCUUAGGUGGCAGUAUAUGCCAGAAGGGACAGCCAAAACAGGCAGCUGGGCCUAGGAAUUUUAUCUUCAAAAAUCCAAAUGCAGUCUUGAAGAAGUUAUCUCCCAUCUCCUAUCUCAAGAUGGAAAAUCAAAGCCACCAUGCAUCAGUUUGCAGCUGUGUAACGCCCAUUUGGUCAAUAGCCACCUCUGGCUUUGUUUCCUGGAAGCUGUGCAAUCAUCACCGCUAUCAUUUAGGGCUGAUAAUUUUGAGACACCUGUGUCCAGAUAAAAAUCUGGUCUCCUGGGAUUUAGAACCAGACAUUGAUUUUCUUUACUACCAGGAUCACUCACAGGAUAAAGUAAGACAAUGGCCAGGAGGGAAGAUGGGUUCAUCUGGAUAUUAGGCACUAAGGUUGGCUGCAUCACUGCGAUGGAAGAUACAGGAGAGGCACUUCUAAGGGUCUCAAGUCCAUUCUGACAAGCCUUCUUGGUAAAAUUCCAGGCCAAAAGAGGAGGCAGGAGGAUUCUCUGGAGCUCUGGCUAGUAUUUAGCAAGGCCCAUCUUCCUAGGCCUUGAGUUCACUGCCUUGGAGUGACACACCAUGUUUUGGAAGAGGUUUUAAGGUUAACCGUGCACUUUUUCACAUUAUUUUGGUCAGCCCUCAAAAUAAUGAUGUUAUUUCUUCUUUUUUAUUUAAAAUGAGAAAACUGAGACUCAGAAAAUUUAACACCGUUAGGAAGUGGCAAAGUAAGCAUUUCGACCCUGGCCAUUGGCUUAAGAGUCUGGUGUUCUUCAUCAGAGAAAAAAAGCACAGCCCUAUUGUGAAUAUGUUCUCAGAGAAUGUAUCUUUUAGCAUAGGACUUGUCAUUUUCAUCUUUUGAUUUAUUCCUUGAAUACUAUUUGCAUGUUUGAAAAUCCAAAACGGGUAAAACACUCCAUACCAUCCUUGUCCCUCAUCUGCCAUGCUCUUUCUUUCCAGCGCCAUGGUAACCACUAUUCUUAGUUUCUUCCAUAGUCUCUUUAUGUUCUAUCAGGAAGCAUGAGCUUCUUUUCUUCUUACUUCUUUUACACAAAAGUUACCAUGUUAUAAACAAUGUUUAAUACCUUCCUUUUUUCAAUUAACUAUAUAUCCUAGAGCUCUUUCUGUAUCAUUUUAUAGGAAGCUUUCUCAUUCUUCUUUAUAGUUUAUAGUAUUCUCUUGUAUGGAUGUUCUAUAAUUUAUUGAAUCAGUUCUCUAUUGAUAAAAACUUGGGUUGUUUCCUAUUUUUUACUACAAAACGCUCCAAGGAACAACCUUGUACAUUCAUCCUUUAGUACAUAUACAAGUAUAUCUGUAGGUUACUUUUCUGAAAGAAGAAUCGCUGUAGAAAAAUGUUUAUGUAUUUAUAAUUUUUGUGGAUAGUCAUCAGAAAUUGAUAAAGCCAAAAACUAAACACAAAGCCAUUUCAUCCCUCAUACCAGGGUUUAAUAAUUGGUUUACCAAGGACACACCCAACUAAUGAGGACUCCAGCUCAGUUCCUUUAUGAAUUGAGUAAAUACUGAGUUGGCCCCAAGGCCAUUCUUCAGAGCAGAUUCUUCCAGGGCUCUUAUCUUUGACUUUGGGUUCUCUCUCAUUUUUUUUUUUCUUUCGGUAGAUGCUCUAAGGCAAGAAAAUUGGAGACUUUUUUGAAAUUCUUCCUCUUGUCCUUCAGAUACAUCAUACUGGAAAACAGCUGAGACAAGCAUAUCUCUGCAACUGGCCUUAGUGAAACAGAAAAAUCACAGGCUCUGGGGUCAGAAAGACCUAAAUUUGAAUAUUGGUUUUCUCACUUUUUAAAUGCAUGAUCUUGGGUGGGAAUUUUAACCUCUCCAAGUCAUGCUUCUUUCAUGUGGGGAAGAGAAAAAAAAUACUUGAACCUAUCAAAAAUGGUGUGGUGAGGUUAAAGAUAAUGUGUGAAAAACACACUAAGGACUCAAUGGAUAUUUUCUGUUAUUUUGUAAAAUUGUCCUAAAAUACAUGCUUAUAAAUUCUUUUAUAUCAGUGUCGCUGGGGGCCUAGGACCAGCCUCUACCUGCAUCUACAUGAAUGACUCAUAACCUCAGCUUCCAAACCAUCUCAUUAUUGACGGUUUGCCUCUUGGUAAGCAGUUGAGGAGUGGUUUUCCACAUCCCGCUGAUGACACAGUGUUCCUCAUGAUAUGGCUGCAUUAGGCUCCAACCACACUUGUAACAUCAAAGCACCCUGGCUCAUCAAUUAGUCAGGAAGCAAUUUUUCACCAUUUGGUCCAGCACCUAAGCUGGCUCUUAAAAAGCACCAAGGUUUAUCUAGGGUCAGAUGGCUUAGAAAUCCUACAAAUAGGGCCACCCACAGCCACAUAGUUUUGUGACAGGUGUCUGGACUCACAAGAAGCAAAGACCCACAGAACACAGAGCAGACAUUUUCAGCUCUGAUCUGAGAGCUGCUGUUUCCAAGUCUGCAGAUUUAUCAUUUUAUUAUUUCUUGACACCCAAAUGAGCACACGAAGCUCUGUGUCCUCCUGGUGAAGGAAAGAGGCUCUUUGAAACAGACAACUCUGGUGAUGGCAGUAAUGCGAUGAUGGAUUAUCUUUAUGUUUCCUCAUUCCCUGAAUCCAUUAAAAGAGGGGAGUUGAAUUCUAUCUUAUCAAGAUCCUCUUUCCUUAAUUACUUUUUAAAUGACUGAAAUGAAAAUUUGCAAACAAGGCACGUGUUAGGUAUUCCUCUCAUCUUCAGCCUAUCCCUGACACCGUCCCAACUUCUGCCUUUCAAAGUAAUCCAGCAGCAAAGAUGUUCUAAAGUGUGAGUCACUCACAGAUUGUUCAGGGGGCUGAAGGAAAAUCUGCUAAUGGGAUUUGCAGUUCUACACCAGAAAAUAAUGAGAUAGGAAAUGGGCAAUGUGUACGUGAUUCUUCCAUGUCAUUCAGAAUAAUGAGAUCUUGGAGCAGCUUCUUCCUGAAUUGAAAUCAUUGACAAUGUAUUUGCAUAUUCAUUUUUGGAUACUUUGAUUUAAAAGUCAGUUAUGGAAGAAGUCAGUCUAACAUCUGAGAAUUGUAGGUACUUGAAAAGAAAAGAAAAAUUCUAUCCUACGAUUAUCUCUUUCCUCAAUGUUUCUUAGGACCUUGAAGAAGAGGUUGAGGGAACACAAACAUUUGGGUUAUAUUUUUAAAACUUAAAAAUAAAGAUUUGUGGAGAGAAUAUUGACCUAUAACAUUUGCAGCUUUUGCCUUUUAUUAUCAAGGGUUUGUUAAAGCCCAUCGUAUCAUCAUGAAGAUUUGAGUAGAAAUGUUCUUAUGCCUGUACUGUGCAAUACAGUAGCCACUAGCCACAUGUGCUAUUUGAAUUUAAAUUAAUUAAAAUUAAACCAGAUUAAAACAUUAGGUCCUUGGUAGCACUAACCACAUUUCUAGUGUGCCUGGUGGAUGAUACAACUCCUGGGUGUAGAAAGUGGCAGGCGUUUGUGUGAAUGAAUGAAAUCUCCCAGGCUGAAUGUGAUGGAGGCUUCUACAAUGAUUAAUCAACUAAGCAGCCUCUUUUUCCUCCUUAAUAACUUGGAGUUUUACUCGUCCUUCCUCCAUAACAUCUCUCUCUAACCAUGGCUAGCUGUGGAGAAAGAGGCUUGCAAAUUAAAGUUCAUGCAUUCAUGGUUCAAGACCUAGUUAAGCAUAAGUGGGUUAUCUGUAGUAAUCAAUCCUUCUGAAUCACCAAGUUUAUCCAAAUUUCUUGAUUCAGAAAAAAAUCAAGUCACAUCACCAAUGGAGUGGCUUUGGGAGAUUAUGUUCUCCCUAAAAAGAAAAAUGCAUCAGUUUUGCAUAUUGAUGUUAUUCAAUUUACAAGCAUAGGCAAAUAUAGCACCAUUUGAAAUAACACAAGAUUUGGGUUAGAUAUAUGCAAAAACAAGCAAGCAAACAAAACUUAAUAGUCCACGUUUUCUGAUUAUGAGUUCAUUCUCAAGUCUUGAUGAUUUAAGUCAACCUCACCCUUGAUGCAAAGCAAUAAUUAUGGGUUUUGUUGGUAAAAUCAAGUCAUCAUUCAAUAUUCAUGUGCUCUUUCAGAGAAAUCUCUUAGGCAGUUAAUGUUAUUUCUCCCUCCCUCUCUAUCCUUCCUCCCAACCCCACCAACCAUCAGCAUUGUUAUUCCAGCAGAUACAAUCAAAAUGUACACCACCAAAGGAAGUCUUAGAAGAACAAAAAAGGCUUAAGGCUUAAACAUGAAUAUCAAUGUGAAUCAUUCUAUGAGCUUCGUCUGGGGGGACAAAAGAGGUAGAACAGACUUAUUUGAUGUAUAUAAAAUGAUUAACUUUUACGGGACUUAUUCCCUACCAGGCACUGUUCCAUAUACUCCGUACGUACCAACUAUCACAGCAGCCCCCUUUCUCUGAUGAAGAAACUGAGAUAGGGAGAGGUUAAACAAUUGCACUCAAGUUACCAUAACCAAGCUACAAAAAAGGCAGUUUAGGACCACUGACUGUACUCUUAACCUUGAGGCCAAAUGCUGUGUCUACUUAAGUACCUGGGCUGGGGCUGCCUCCUUUGUCCCGAGUACAGCCUGAUAGAAUGGGCUGGCUUCUGGAGCUAUGGGAGGGCCUCAAAAUACAGUCAGCCCUGUGGCAUGUAUCACUGACUUAUCUGGAAGGUAUAAGGUAAGCUGAGGAACCACUGCGAUACUCACUUCCAGUCUCCCCCCACCGGGGCUGCUUUUGUUGGUCAGAUGUGGAAGGGAAAGCUACCUUCUCUACCGCCUUUGAUCAGACCUAGGCCACAGUGUGAAGAGGAGAGUGUGCCUGCUUCUUAGAGAAAGCUAGGAGACGAAUGUUCCCAGUCCUGCUAGCACACUCUUUGCAGGCUCUUUGGUGGGCUUGGGAUAACCCAGCACUCCUGAAGGCUACAGGGUGUGCUUUGUCUCCUAGACACAGAAAACUCUUUGGCAGCGUCUUAGCCUGGGUCCACAGUGCCCCUUGGGUAAGAUGAGGGUAAACAGGCUCCAAGGUCCAAAACAUGUCUGCUAUUAAGCCCCAUAUUAAUUUAAUUAAUUAAAACCUAAGAUAUAGUUGAGAAAGAAAAGCAAAAGACUUUCCUUUGUAGGAGCACCAAGUUAACCUAUUGCUAGUCGCCUCUUGGGCACACAAAUGAAAGCACAAUGCCAUAAACAGCAGUCCAGUCAGGACGCUUGGUCAGCUCAUCAUCCAGCUUCUUUAUGGUGGGGAGCUGCUAUGAAUGGCAGAGCAGCCCUGGGGUGGUAUGUGGCUGGGAAUUGACUCCCCUACCCUUUAUCUGCAGCAGAGUAACUGACAGAAGGUAGGGUUACGGGGCCAGAUAGAAGGGGAGAUUCCUUUCCCUGUGCUGCCUGGGUGGUCUUUUUGUCCCUAUCUUCCUGGAAAAGAUGAUUAGAUACAGUUCUGGGGUGGGAAGGAACCCACCCGCAUUGUUGCUUUGCAGAUAAGAAAACUGAAACUUGAAGUGGUAAAAUGACAUGCCCAAGGUCAGUUAAAUGUCAGAGAUUAUGAUCAUUGAUGUCAUCCAAAGAAAACUCCAAUUUUCUUCCAAGCUAUGAAGUGGAACCAAUUUGUAAUACAGCUUUCUCAAAGGGCUGAAAUCCUAUUUCUUAAAGCCUCAGUUUAUGUUGUUCAUGCAUUGAGCACUUGGGACAGAGGGAAUUGAGGCAGAGGAAAUUUUUUUAUUAUUAUUUAUAAUAGAAACUCCACUGUCUAAAGGGAUUUGAGGUGGCUUGUAAUGAAAGGCAGACAUAUCAUAAAGCUGUAAAAAUAUUUUAAAAGGAGAAAAAAAGUUGAAGGUUAGGAAAAAAAUCUGUAUCAAACCCCUAAGUUAAAGGCAGCCAAGGGGAACAGUAUGAGUAACUCAAUUCUCACUGCCUGUUGAAAGGAAGCGUAGUAAUGCUUAGCUACAACAUUCUUGGAGAAAAGUUAGUUGGUUAGCUUACUAUUAUUCUCUACUAAUUCUGGAGGGUCUUUUUAAAAAUUUUAAUUUAUUCAGGGAUAGGGCUCUGGGCCAGAUUGAUGCUCUGAUUCUUAAUGACAUAAUGGAUAGCCCCAGAAGCAGGUGCCAGAAGGCAUUACUAUCAUGGCUUCACUAUUACUCUGAGACACUAUUUUUAUUGUGCACUAUUUUAACCCCAUAUUAAUGACUGUAGAUUUUACCUGGGCACAUGUAUUGUCACCUAAUUAUUUAGUUGUCUUUUUACAGACUGUCAAGGUCUUUACUUCUUAACACAAGGACAUGCCAAGGCAGUACUGCAAGACAGGGAGACCUCGUCAGAAUUCAUUCAUCUGAGUUCAACAGCAUGUAUUGAGUACCCACUGCAUGCCCCAACCUUGCUAAGGAGCAAGGGAUAAAAAUGUGAGCUGAGCCUGAUUUACAGGCAAAGAUUCAAUGAUUUAUAAUACAAUAUGAUGACAUCAUAUGAUAACAGUGAUCAGAAUGAUGUGUUUUAGGAAUGCAAUAGAAAAAGGACAGAUUCUGCCCAGAGACAUUGGAGGUAGGUUACCAGGGGAGGUAAUGUUUUAUUCAUUCUUUUAACAAAUAUUGAGUAUAUAUUUUCUUCCAGAUACUAUGUUGGGUGCUGAGAUUAUCAAAGCAGUCAUGUUCUCUAUUUUCAUGGAACUUGAAGUAAUAGCCUAUUUAUACAUGGAGAAAAAGACUCAUAGUGUAUUGCAGAGAAAAAAGUAUUGCAGAGAAAAAAAGAGCUCUAUGAGCAAAGAUGAGAGGGACAUGCAAGCUAAAGGGUGACCAGAUAAUGUGUGGGGCAUGAGGACACUUGAACUGUAUCACAUACACAAUGGGGAGACGGCAAAGGUCUUAGGGAGUGGCAUGAUCAUAUUUGUACUUUAAGAGUUAGCCACAAAGAUUUAAUUACAUAAAAAAUAAAACCAUAAAAGUACUAGAAAAAAACAUAGGUAAGUAUAUACUUUUAACUUGGGGAAAAGCUUUCAACAUAUGGCAUCGAAAAGUUAAAACCACACAGAAAAGAGGGAUAGAUUUGAAUAUAUAAAGAUUUAAAAGUAAACCACAAAACCACUAAAGUUAAAAGGAUAAAAGUUUUAAAAAAAGUAAAAAGGACAAAUUGGGGGAUAUUCAAUAGCCUUGAUAUAGAAAUGACUCAUACAUACAAACAAGAAAAAGAAAAUGCCUUAUAGAACAAAAAUAAGAUAUUUGCAAAAGGAGAUAUUCAAAAGUUUCCCCCAAAAAACAACAGAUGAAAAAUGUUCAAACUCACUAGUAAUCUAAACAAAUUAAAAUAGGUAGCUAUCAUUCUUUACUUACCAGAUUAAACAAAGAUUUAAAAAGAAUACAGUAAUGCCAGCGUUAGUGAAGGACUAGAAGAACAGACUCUUAAGUACUACCUGUAUAUGAGUGGUUUAGAAGACCAAUUUGUAACAAAUGUCAGAAUUCUUAAAAAUUAAUAGAUAUACUGAUUUAACAAAUUUACUUUUAGGAAUAUAUCCUAAGGAAGUUGGCCAACUCACAAAAAAAUUUUUUUCCAAAUGGCUCAUUUCAAUGUUGUUUGUAAUAGCUAAACAAAAUACAAAAAAACACAACAACACAAACAACAACAAAAACCCACAAAACAAUGUAGAUGCCUAACCCUGAAACAAAGGAUUGGUUAAAAAAUACAAAGGCACUGCCACCCACUCAGACGCUAUGUAGCCAUUAAAAAUAAUAUGAAUCUAUACUUACUGACAUGGAAAUUUACCCAUAAUAUAUUGUUAACAAAGAAUAGAAGGUUACAGAGAAUUAUAGCAGGAUAUCAUUUUUGAAAAUAGUUAUUUUAUGUACAUAAAAAAUCCAGUAGGAAAGACAAAAUAUUGUAUCAUUUUUCUGAUUGUAGUUUUUUUCAUUCUGCUUUUUAUUUUCUCAUUUUUCUACAUCAAACAUGGAUUAAUACAAAAAUAAUUCAAUCAUUAUAACACAUUAAAGGUGAUUAGCCUCAGGCACAAAAGAUGAAGGGCAUUCAGGAGGCAUUUGCCAUAAACCAGGAAAGAAAUGAGAAAGGCUUGUGCUGGACUCCAGUGGUUUCCAGUCCUAGCUGUACUUUAGAAAUACCUAGGGAGGUAUUAAAAAGUACUCAUUUCAGGCACAACACAGACUAAUUAAUUUAGAGUCUCUGGGAUGGUACCUUGACACUGGUAUGUUUUAACGUCUGCCCCCUGCCUUGCCCCAAGUGACUCUAAAAUGUGCAGGUGGAGAUAAGUCCACUACUCUAAGGCAGUGGCAGUUGGAAAGGAGAAGAAGAGGAUUUGGACCUGAAUUACGUUCCAGGGGUGGGAUCCCUAAAAAGGAUAUAAAUCUUAGGACAUGAAUUUGGCUUUAGUGGGUUUCCUUCCAUUCUAUAUAGCUCUCAAGGUCAAGUGCAUUGCUGAGGAAUGGACAAUAGCCUCUGCUGAUCCCUCUGAUCUAAGCUGCUGCUGGCACGGCAGCAUUGGAGGCUACAUCCAUUCUCAGCACAUUUGGAGUGCAAUGAUGCUGCAGGAACAAAUCGCCCACCUUCCAAAUGCCCUGUGAGUGAGUCAGUGCUCAGCAGCAUUGGCAAGGCGGAGCGCUGUAACGGCAAAGAAAGGAUGACAUCUCAUAUACAUGUGUGAACAGGACUGUUUACUCAUAGGAUGAUUAUUUUAAAGGAGACGUUUGGUUUUUUAAGGUCCGUAGAAGUUUGUUUCAUCGCUAAUCGCAGCGGGUGUAGGUGUUAGCUAACAUACCGGUAACUGAAUGUUCUUAGCAAUACUGCAAUAGCUUCCCUUAAGGUUUAAAAAUUACAAUUUGAUUUUAAUUGCCACCUCUCUUAAUAGGUGUUACUCAAACAGGAAGGAAAAUGCCACAUACUCUUACCAGUUCUUGAUGCCAGAGAUUACUAAAGCAAUUUGGAAAGAUAUCGAAAAGGUGUUGAGAAAAUACAGGUGAAUUUUAAUACAUGAUGUGUAUUGACAUUUUUACUCUAGGUAGCAACAGAGAGACUUCUGUAUUGCUGGGGAGGAAUUAUAUGAGAUUUUGGCUACGGAGACAGGAUUUCUCACUUCUUAUUGGCUGAAAAAAAAAUAAAUGAAGCCAUUAGAAGCAGUAUUGAAAUAUUAAUCAUACCUUCCAAAAUUAAACACUCUUUUAAAAAUAAAAGUUACACAAUCUGUCUUUCACUUCAUCUUUGACUUUCAUCCCAACACUGGUGGGAGGAAAUAAGCUCUGGUUAAAAUCAAGACUGAAAGUGACUUUGACUUUGCAGAGAACAGUGUCAAGGCGAAGAACUUGACUGUAUCUUCUCUCCCACUUGGGGUCAGUGUUUAGGCACAUGAGAGAAGAUGAGGAACCAGGACAGGAAAUGGCAGCGUUUCCACCAAAGGUCAAGGGGAACAUUAAUGGGCUACAUUCCAGACCCAAGGCUGACGAUCUUCUUCAAAGGAGUCAGUGGUGGAAACACAGACUCAGAGCCACUCCCAAAAGGUACGAUGAGGUCAGGAUCAUUGAAGAGAGGCAGUGCACAGGGGGCGUUCGGGUGAGCAUCUCUAAAGUUACCUUUCUGGUUGGUCUUUGACAUCAAAGUGCGUAAGUCUGCCUUUCAUGGGCAGGUAGAAAUGCUGUGCAGGUGAAAACAGGCCUCUGGCAAGAUAAGAACAGAAAUCUUUGAGCUUCAAAUUACAGAUCUUUAUGUUUCACUGAAACUUGUCUUUACAGGGGUGUCAGUCUCCACUGUGACUGACCACAAAACCCUGCAGGAAAGAGGCUGUGGGUUUUCCUGCGUGGUCCCCAGACCCUAAUAUGCCCAUGUGGCUGCCUAAUACACAUCUCUAUUUAAAAUGUUCAGAAUCUGUGUACUUGGUAAGUAAAUUUCAAACAAUACCCUUCCUCUCUUCCGCUCCCUGUCUCCAGACCCCCAUUUUCCCUCCCUGAAGAUAACCACUGCUAGUGCAUUUUUAGACUUCCUACCGGAGAUAGAUAUUCUUCUUGCUCCGUUUCUCUCUCUCUCUCCACACGCACACACACUCACACACACACACACAUAAAUACAUAUACACACGUAAACAUAACAUAUACAUAUUUUUACAUAGAUAGAACUUCACACACUGCUCUGUACCUUGUCUUGUUCCCUCAUGUUCACUUAUCAAUAAAUUCUGGAGAUCAUUCCACGCCAUUCCAUACAGGACUGAUUCAAUCUGUGCAUGAAUGCAUAGCACUCCACUGCAGAGGUGAACCACAAUCUGUUCAACCAGGCCUCUCUAACUGAUGGAAUUUAGAGUUUUUCCAGUCUUUGUCAAUGCUGCACUAAAUGUCUUUGUAUAACUAUUUUUAUGUCUGUGGAAGUAUUUCUGAAAGAUUAAUUCCUGGAUAUAAAAUUUCUGAGUACAUGUACUUUAAGUUCUGAUUGAUAUUGACAUAUUUUCCUUCAAAUAUCGAGCCAAUUCAUACUCUAUCAAGAAUAUAUGAGGCCUUGAGAAUAUUAAGUGAAAGAAGGCCACAAAAGACCACAGAAUAUAUGAUUCCUAUAUCAUGAAAUAUCUAGCAUAGGCAAAUCCAUACAGAAAUCGAUUAAUGGUCACCAGGGGUUGGGGGAAGGAAGGAGCUAAAGAGUAAGUGGUAUUGGGUGCAGGAUUUCAUUUCGGUGUGACGAAAAUGUUCUGAAUUCAGAUAGUGGUGAUGCUCCUACAUCUAUAAAUAUGCUAAACCCCACUGAAUUUUAUACUUUAAACGGAUGAAUUUAUGAUAUGUGAAUUCUAUCUCGAUAAAGCUCUUAUUUUAAAAAAUGCAUGAGAGUACCUGUGCCUUCCACUCCCCUAUUGACAGUGUAUGUUCACACUUUUUCAUCACCAUUCUAAUUACAACAUCUUGCUUCAUUCCUUCUAAAGGAGGACUAAGCAGGAAAGAAAUAGAUUGAACGGGCCAACCAGGUAUUUUAGGAUUUGGGCUGUCAACUUUAUAGUCUAACAGCAAUGGAAAUGUCUAAGAUGGAAACAAUCAAAACAGUCAAGUUGUCAACAAUUGCCAAUGAAUUCAGCAGCCUAAAUGAAACAAGCAAGGAAUGAGACUUAAGAAUUUAAAAAAGGGAUGAAGGACCCAGUUCUUCCAGCCUAAAGGAUUUUGAAAUCUCCGUUUGCUUAACCAAGGACAUGAAUGCCACAACUCCUGAAUGCAGAACUUAAUCCAGCAGCGUGCCUCCAGUAGAAAAUAAGCUGAAGUUCAAUGUAUUCUCUAUGAAGAAGGUAUGGGAGCUGAGUAAAACAUUUUUGUACACCAUUCUAGAGCUACUGAUAGGCUGAAAAAAUUAACCAUUGCUUGCCCCUCUUAAAACUCAUAUUUUCAUUGAGAUGGGUUUCCUUUGGAUUCCAUUUCGCCCCUUUUCACCUCUCACCUCCAAGAUUAACCCUGCUAAAUACUUCUUUUUCUAUGAUGUCUUAUAUUUCAAACUGCUUGUGCCUUGUGGGAUUAAAAGCUAAAUACUCUUUAACAAGAGUAAUCCCCUAAGUGGACAUGUUUCUGAGAUUGUUAGGCAUUUGAUCACAAGUGAAAGAUGAGAAUGCAGCGGGAAGGUAUGAAAGCACAGAGAGUAGAGAGGUUCAGGAUUUUCACCUUAGUAAUAAUUGAUUGCAAAGGGGCUCUCCAAGCCAAUAUUUGCAUGAAAAUAGGCCCAUUCUUAAUUCUCAAGAAUAAGCUCAUUUUUCUCCCUUCCAUUGAGAAGCAAUAUGACCCCAAGGAAAUACAUCCCAGCAAGUGAGGCCUUGACACACUUGACCUUUCCCAGUUUUUGACUCAGCUUAUGUGGCUUUAAUAAUAACAGCUAGCACUUACAAAUAAUGCAUUUAAUAUGUGGCAGCCACUGUUCUAGGCACUCUAUAUAUACUGGCUCAUUUAAGACCCAACAAUCUUGUGAGGAAAACACUAUUUGUCCUGCUGCUAUGGACUGAAUUGUGCCUCCCCACCCCUGCAGAAAUCAUAUGUUGAUGCCUUAACCCCCAGUGUAGUGGUAUUUGUGGAUGGGCCUUUGGGGAGGCAACUGGGUUUAGAUAAAGCCAUGAGGGUGGGGUCCUCAUAAUGGGAUUAGGGCCCCCCUAAGAAGCGGCUCCAGACAACUUGCUUCCCUCUCCUGUCACUGCCAUGUGAGGACACAGGGAAAAGGCAGAAGAAUUUCUGAAAGUCAGAAGAAUUUCUCACCGGGGAACCAAGUUGGCUAUCACCUUGAUUUUGGACUUCCCAGUCUCCAGAACAGUGAGAUAUAAUUAUUCACUGUUUAAGGCACUCAGUCUAUGGUAUAUUGUUGUGGUAGCCCAAGCUGACUAAUGUAAACCAAAAUUAAAAUUCUAAGGCCCCUCAACCAUCUGAAUGAACCCUUCCUCCUGGCCAAGGACAUUCCAAAAUUAACCUGAAGAACAAGUUCAGGCUAUGAUGGGAAGGGGGAGCUGGACAUGCCUCAUUAUACCCUCCUCCCUUUUGGAAUUACUGGUAGAACGGACUCUAAGUUUGAUAAGAAACAUUUACAAUUUAUUCUCUCUGAAGUCUGCUACCUGGAGGCUUCAUCUGUAUGACAAAACCCUGGUCUCUAUGACCUCUUAUUGUACCCAGACAUUCCUUUCUAUUGAUAAUAACUCUUUCAACCAAUUGCCAAUUGGAAAAUCUAAUCUACCUAUGACCUGGAAGCUCCCACUUCAAGUCAUGCUGCCUUUCUGGACUGAACCAAUGUACAUCUUACAUGUAUGGAUUGAUGUCUCAUAUCUCCUUAAAAUGUAUAAAGCUGAGCUGUACCCCACCACCUUGGGCACAUGUCAGGAUCUCCUGAGGAUGUGUCAUGAGUGUGUCCUUAACCUUGGCAAAAAUCAACUUUCUAAACUGAUUCAGACCUGUCUCAGGUACUUUUGGUUUACAUUAAUAUGAGUGCUACCUCAUAGAGGAGCAAAUCGAGACCCAGGGAGGCUAUGUCAUAGCUUACCUAGGGAGAACUAGAAGAUGAUGAAGGCAGGAGUCAAACUCACAUAGUCUCACUCCAGAGUCUGUAUUGCUCAUUACUAUGGUCAAAUGCCUGCAAUGAAGGCAAUAGCUUGUGUAUUCUGGCCUCCUCUUCUGCCAUCCUGAAACUCCAAAUUAUGCCAUCAUGUGGACUCACAAAAGAUUGUGUUCAGGCUUCCACUGUAUGUCUCAUGUGUUUUGGAGUUUGUGCCCUCUACUCAUCUGGGAGCCUGGUAAUGGCUGGGACUUUUUUUCAUUUCCACUCCCUCAGUUCUUAGUGCAGUGCCUGGGUAGGUGUUUACUAAAUCUUGUUAAGUGAAUAUGUGUAAAGACGAAACAGCCUAAUCUCACAAAGUUUUACAAAUAAGAAUAAAUCAUGUGAGUUCUUUGCAAAGAAGAAUAUUGCAGUAUGACAGGCUGAUUUGGUAAUAACUCAGCUAGCAGAGACCUGCUUAAACAGUUACCCAAGCCCGAGAAGGAGCAAUUUUGUGCUGUCUUAUGAUAGUCUGAAUGGACUUAGGGGGAUACCAGUUUUCUGUUUUGCUCUUGGCCCCUUGCUCAUAAAAAGUACUACUGCAGGUUGGGCUGCUGCAGAAGCAGGCUCUGAGAUAGAAUCUAGUGUGCAGGAUAUUUAUAAGGAGGGUCCUUGGGAUCUAUGCAUUCCACAGGAAGAGACUAAGGCAGAACUGGGUAGAGGAAGAAGUUGAAAUGUGGUGCAGGCCCAGUGACGGCCUGGCUGAGCUCAUGAGAGCUCUUGAGCUAGAAUGGUCUUGCUAGAGUUGAGCCAGAUGGCAAGGUCUUCUUACUCCAAAGCUAUUAGUCACUAGAUAUGGGCUGCCCAGGAGGGGCUUGAUCAUGAGCAAGGCAGCUUGCCUGAAGGGAUGGCAGCUGAAGGCUGUCUGUUGACAGACUUCCAGCAGCUGGGACAACAAGCUCUUAUUUCAGGGAGGUCUGGGUGGUGUAUCUCAGUGUCCCACACAUGAACAUUACUUUGGAAUGAGUGUUUCCACAGCACAGGAGCCCAGCAUGGUGAGUAUUCUCAUUAUUACAGAAUAUUACUUUCAUCUCUUGAGCCGGAUUUUCUUUUAUGACUCUUGGCAGAUGCCCAAAGAUCCUAUGUCUGUGUAGCAUCUUUUUGAAAGGUUUUUUCAUACAUAAUAUCUCUUAUAUGAGAUUCCUUUCUAAGAACACUCUACCUCCCAGAGUCUGGCUUUAAAUUUGUUUUCUCAUGUUUCCUUCAUAUCUCAGAAGAAAAAGUUCCCUCCCCCUUUCUCAGGUUAAUUUUUCUUCUAUUACUUUGACUUGCCCCUUCUUGAUCUCCUACAAAACCUAGUUCUUUCAGUGAGUCUCAAGUCCCCUCAAUGUCUUUCCUCCCCUAUGCAGGGUAAGCCCUAGAAUAUUAUUGUAUGGGAAAUCGGGUCUUAGUAAGAGAGUAAACACAAUGAUGUGUGGGCAUAGAAGCAGGGAGGCCAGGAAUGAGAUGCAGCUCUGCUAAUGAAAUACAAUUUAACACACUAUAAGCAGGGAUUCUUCUAGGAAGUUUUGAUGAAUAAUUCUUAGUUGCUUAUUCCUCUGACGAGCCCCUGAGGGUUGUAUCAGUGGAAGGUCUCAUGGUGAAGUAGGAGGAAUGUGGUUUUUGGAGUUAUUCAGGACUGAUUUUGACUUAUAGCCAAGUCAACUUGCUAGCUGUGUAACCCCUCAGUUUAAUCAGUUUAGUUACCUUCUCUUAGCUUUAGUUUCCUCAUCUGGAACACAUGGCUUAUGAAGUCCUCCCUCAAAGGGUUGCUGUGAAGGGGACACUCAAUGAGAUGACACAGGUGAAGACUUGCAUAGCAUCUGGCACGUGGUAUACUCUGUCACGCACACGCUGCUUCCCCACUGAGGCAGUUGCACUGGGAGUCCAGCUGGCCAGGUGCCACCUCUCCUCUGGCUCAUUCACGCAUGUGGGCCCCACUACUUUUUGAUUUUACAUUUAAACCCAGUGCUCUGAAUUCCUGUCUUGCCUUUAUUGGUGAGAUAUCUCCAUCUCAGUUACAGCUGAGCAGGUGUAUUAUGAGCUGAGUGAAUGCAAGAUUGAACAAAUAAAAAAUACAACAUGUAAGUGAACUCAAAAAAGGCUUUUGGAGUACCCUGUAGUUCAAAUGGUUUGUGCUUAUUCCAUUCACAGAUGGCACAUUCUAUCUGCAAUGACUACCAAGCUAAGUAUGGCAAGAUGGUUUCUUAGUAUGAUAAGAGACUAAUAGGACCCUACUUCUCAUUUGUUAACCCCUCACAGUGUACCAAUAUUAAACAAGGUAUUUUAAAAAGAUCUGUUCCUGUCUUUGUGGUUAAUUUUUAAGAGUUAAAAUUCUUCUUGUUCUAUGAGCCCCUGAAAAUUCAUUUUAAAUCAACAGGCAAAGAGCCAGCUACGAGGAAGGGCAGAGCAAAAAUAAACUUUAUCCAGCAGUCAUGUCUUAGGGAAAGAAUUGGACAAACCUCUUCCUUGUUUCAGUAGAAACUUCAAUACGUGUAACAGAAUUAAGGAACAGCUAGAUUGAUGCUUGUAGAGGCAAAAAGAUAUAGAGAGUAUAUAUAUUUAAUCAGACUAAUCAAGCACACAUCUGUAAGUGAAUUUAAAAAAUGACUUUGCUUUGAGGAAGUUGACUCUCAUUUUGGUUUGUUUCAUGAUUGACUGAAUUAUUCUCUGUCUUGCAUGUCACCUUAUUUGACUUGACACUAAUCUGACAGAGGGAUGUACAGGAAAAUCUGCAGGCCUGGGUGUCAGCCCUGAGUCAGGACUCUGACUCUGUUGCUUCUUAGCUGUGGGACCAUGGGUAAGUUACUCAAUCCUCUGACCUUCAGUUCCUUCAAUAGUAAAAUGAGGUUUUAAUACUUACUUCUACUAUAGUGUGUAUAAAAUGUAAUACAUAUAAAGUGCCAGGAGUGAAGUAGGUAUUAAAAAUGCUAUAGUUCCUCUCUCCUUGCCUGCUAAUUUCCAAAAUAUCCUAUGGCUUUUAGUCAUAUGAUAAAUUUUGGUUGCUACCAUUUUUCCCUAUUAGGCACUAUUUACUGAUACAGAAUACUCUAUACUUAGUGCUGUUGUCAUAAGCAAGUCUCUAGACAAAGAGAGGAAAUUGCUGAGGCAGUUUAGCUUGACAGGUUGACAGAGCCAGGCUCUGACACUUAUCAAAUGUUUGACCUUGGGCAAUUAGUUAAACAUUCUGUGCCUCAGUUUCCUCCUCUCUAAUAUGUGGAUAUUAAACCUCAUUCCUAGGUUUGUGUUGAGGAUUAAACGAGUUAAUCUAUUUGAAGCCAUUAGCAUGGUGCCUAGCAAUCGUAGGAACAAUGUUGAUGUCAGCUAUUGAAACUGCUGCCCCUCGUUGCUAUGUUUGUGGCUGCCUUCCUACUCACAGCUCUCAUCUUCAGGAACUGCUUCCACCCACUAAUCGCCUCCCCCAGCGAUGUUUGCAUUACAUAAAUGGUGUAUCCAUCCAAGCCCCAACUGUUUAGAUCAGGAGUGGACGUCUCAUCUGAGCUGGAAAAAUCAGAACCCUCUCUUUGGUUUGGGAACAGCGAGUAAUUGAGAGCAGCCAGCUGUGGGCUGUGGAGCUGGAAGGUUGCAUAGACUCAGGUCUGAGGCUAUUAUCUGGUCCUUGAUGGAUGAAUGGAGAAAGCUUUCUGCUAAGAGAAUCAGGAAAGUGGGGACAGAUAUAAGAGAAAACCAGAGAGGAGAAAGUUUAUGGCCCGUAAGAAAUGAUGAGAGGUCCUGGGAAGAUGAAUUUUCCAGUUCCUGAGACCAGGCUGUGCUGAGCACUCUGCACUUACACUCUUGAGAUGCCCACAUUCUUACAUGAUGACGCUCCAAUUCCCAACCCCUUCCCGACCGGCUUAGGCAACUCUCUCUUCUGUGCAGGCAAAGAAGCUGUGAUGAAAACACUGAACUUCAGCAGGAAGUGAUCUACAUCCUUGGUCUACAAAUGUUUUUGCUCACAUAGUUGCAGAAUUUUUAGGAACUAUGUACCCCUACACAUUUUCAAGUCGAUAUCUAAAAUUUUUAUCUUAAGUUUAAAUGUCAUAGCCCAUAGAAUCUAAUAGUCCAUUGAUUGCAAGAUAUAUUUCUUUCACAGUAUUAUGAACAGAUAAGAAAAAAUAAAUGCUUACCAUUUUUAUAAGAUACACCCCAAUUUAACAGAUGUUAAAAUGAAAAAUAUGUCCCUUGGAAUCACUGAAAUGUGAACAUUAAGGAUAUAAUCCUUAUACAUUAUAAAUAUUGACAUUAAAAAAAGCCUGCUACAUUAUUCUUUUAACUGUGUCCAAAGAAUCUAAAUACUAUAAAGAUUUAAUAUUCACAUGAUCCAGUUAGAAAAUAUACUAGAUGAGCAUGAUGUACUCUGACAUUUGGAAAAUUUAAAUCUUUUUCCCCCUUGAAUCUAGAUUUUCAACCUAUUACCACACAAGAUUUAAUCUAAAUGUAUAUAAGGUAUUUAUGUAAAAAUAUAGUAGUCUUUAAACCUUUUACUUAUUCCCCUAUCAUACAUUUUUUGUAUACAUACAAGAAAAAUAUGCAUAUGAACUGGAAAUUUGCUUUAUUCUCUGUAUUCAUAAGGCUGUAAAUCUGCACUAUCCCAAUAUGGUAGCCACUAGCACCUGUUGCUAUCUAAAUCUAAAUGAACAAAAAUGAAAAAGUUAAAAACUUAGUUUCCCCAUAUUAGUCACAAGAGCCCGAUAGCCACAGUGGCUAGUCAGUAGUUGAUGCGUGGAUACAGAUAGAAAACGUUAGUAUUGAUGCAGGACAUUCUAUUGAACAGAGCUGCUCUAAAGGUUAAAAAUUUCUUUCAGAUACACUUAUUAUUUUACUUCUUAUAGGCAUUCAAUUGAUCAAAACAACCUAAACAUAUAACAUAAUUUUAUAAAUAAUGUAAUUGACACAAAGAGAAAACAUUUUAAGGAUUUGUGGCUUCUCAUCAAAUAAAUGGAGCAGAAUUUUUGUUUUGUUUUUUAAGUAGUUUCAUGUGUUGUGUGACUUAUUUCUAGAAUAAGAUAGAGGCCAACAUCAAUUUUAUUUCUAUUUUUUAGUUUUAUAAAUGGAAACACUGAGAAAUUUUCUUUCUUUCUUUUUUUUUGGAGAUGGGAGUCUCGCUCUGUCACCCAGGCUGGAGUGCAAUGGCACCAUCUUGGCUCACUGCACCCUCCAUCUCCCAGGUUCAAGCGAUUCUCCUGCCUCAGUCUCCCAAGUAGCUGGGAUUACAGGCUUGCACCAUCAUGCCCGGCUAAUUUUUGUAUUUUCAGUAGAGACGAGGUUUCACCAUGUUGGCCAGGCUGGUCUUGAACUCCUUACCUCAGGUGAUCUGUCUGCCUUGGCCUCCCAAAGUGCUGGGAUUACAGGCAUGAGCCACUGCACCUGAGAAGUUUUCUUCAUACAAAUAAGGAGAUAAUGAAGAACUUUAUCACAUUUCACUUCUUUGAACUUUUCCUGAGCCAAAAAAAAAAAAAAUCACAUAAUGAUCUAUCAUCAAAAUUUAUAUUUAAGGAUAAUUUAGCUGACAACUUUAUUAGGUACUUCAGUUCUGUUCAAAUCAAGGAUUGGAAACCACUUUGCUUGCAAAAUAAUUUGGCAUUAUAGCCAUCUGCUGUCUCAAUUUCUGGUAAGUCCCGUAUAUCAAAAACAUACCAAGAUUUAUUAAAUGAUCAUCAGUUGAACUUUUUGAGACAGGUCCUCCCUUUGUUGCCUAGGCUGAAGUGCAGUGGCAUAGUUAUAAUUCAUUACAGCCUUGAAUUCCUGUGGUCAAGUGAUCCUUUCCCCUCAGCCUUCCAAGUAGCUAGGGCUACAGGCGCAUGCCACCACACCCAGCCAAUUGUUUUAAAUUUAUAUUUUAUUUUUAGUAGAGAUGAGGUCUCACGAUGUUGCCCGGCUGGUCUCUUGAACUCCUGGGCUCAAGCUAUCCUUUUUUUGGCCUCCCAAAGUGCUGGGAUUACAGAUGUGAGCCAUCGAGUCAUCAUACCUGGCCUAAACUUUUAUUCUUUCACUUAGAGGCACUCUAUUUCACUAUAUAUAUCUAUAUAUAUAUUUUAAGUUAGGAAUAUAUUACUGGUUUUAUUAUAUUUUUGCCAAUACUACCUUUUUGUGCUAAAUGUUCUUUUCUUAUGCUUUAAAUACAUAUUUUUUUUUCCAGAAGCCGAAGCUACAAACUCAUUUAAUUAUGGGAAAUGUUGGUCAUGAACUCUAAUUGGCAAAGUCCAAAUUAACAUUCCAACAAAUUAGCCAAAUUAGAAUUACUUCCUGUCAAAAAAAGUAUGACUUCAAUUUUCAACAAACAUGUUAAUAUGUUUUAUCAAAUAUUAUAAGAUCUAAAGAGAAAUUAUGAAAUGCAUCUUGUAAGACAAGUCAGGUCAAGAUUAAAAUG